RNAcentral lists this ribosomal RNA (524 nucleotides) under Percopsis omiscomaycus. Its description in RNAcentral is "partial 12S ribosomal RNA". It matches the Rfam family "Bacterial small subunit ribosomal RNA", at positions 557 to 1367 of the family's 1533-position model. Lineage: Eukaryota; Metazoa; Chordata; Actinopteri; Percopsiformes; Percopsidae. The record is from RNAcentral.
GGCGUAAAAGGUGGCUAGGGUAAUUUUAUAUAGGGCCGAACCCCCUCUAGGCUGUUAUACGCAUCCGAAGGAAUGAAGCACCAACACGAAAGUAGCCCUACCUCCCCCGAACCCACGAAAGCCAUAAAACAAACUGGGAUUAGAUACCCCACUAUGUCUGGCCCUAAACUUCGAUAGAAUAUCACACCCCUAUCCGCCAGGGAACUACAAGCACCAGCUUUAAACCCAAAGGACUUGGCGGUGCUUUAGACCCCCCUAGAGGAGCCUGUUCUAAAACCGAUAAUCCCCGUUGAACCUCACCACCUUUUGUUAACUCCGCCUAUAUACCGCCGCCGUCAGCUUACCCUGUGAAGGCCUCAUAGUAAGCAAAAUUGGCAAACCCCAAAACGUCAGGUCGAGGUGUAGCGUAUGAGGUGGGAAGAAAUGGGCUACAUUCUUUCAAACCAGAGAAUACGAAUAUGGACUGAAAUCGCCCAUUUAAAGGAGGAUUUAGCAGUAAGUAAAAACAGAGUGUUUUACUGAAA